ACGGGUGAGUAAUACAUCGGAACGUACCCAGAAGUGGGGGAUAACGUAGCGAAAGUUACGCUAAUACCGCAUACGUUCUACGGAAGAAAGUGGGGGACCUUCGGGCCUCAUGCUUUUGGAGCGGCCGAUGUCUGAUUAGCUAGUUGGUGAGGUAAAGGCUCACCAAGGCGACGAUCAGUAGCUGGUCUGAGAGGACGACCAGCCACACUGGGACUGAGACACGGCCCAGACUCCUACGGGAGGCAGCAGUGGGGAAUUUUGGACAAUGGGCGCAAGCCUGAUCCAGCAAUGCCGCGUGAGUGAAGAAGGCCUUCGGGUUGUAAAGCUCUUUUGUCAGGGAAGAAACGGCUGAGGAUAAUACCUUUGGCUAAUGACGGUACCUGAAGAAUAAGCACCGGCUAACUACGUGCCAGCAGCCGCGGUAAUACGUAGGGUGCAAGCGUUAAUCGGAAUUACUGGGCGUAAAGCGUGCGCAGGCGGUUUUGUAAGUCUGACGUGAAAUCCCCGGGCUUAACCUGGGAAUUGCGUUGGAGACUGCAAGGCUGGAGUCUGGCAGAGGGGGGUAGAAUUCCACGUGUAGCAGUGAAA
Molecule: ribosomal RNA, 588 nt
Filed under: uncultured bacterium
Lineage: Bacteria
Description: bacterial SSU rRNA
Rfam family: Bacterial small subunit ribosomal RNA
Source: RNAcentral